GAUGAAGAACGUAGCAAAAUGCGAUAAGUAAUGUGAAUUGCAGAAUUCAGUGAAUCAUCGAAUCUUUGAACGCACAUUGCGCCCGCCAGUAUUCUGGCGGGCAUGCCUGUUCGAGCGUCAUUUCAACCCUCAAGCUCAGCUUGGUGUUGGGACUCGCGGUAACCCGCGUUCCCCAAAUCGAUUGGCGGUCACGUCGAGCUUCCAUAGCGUAGUAAUCAUACACCUCGUUACUGGUAAUCGUCGCGGCCACGCCGUAAAACCCCAACUUCUGAAUGUUGACCUCGGAUCAGGUAGGAAUACCCGCUGAACUUAAGCACAUCAAUAAGCGGAGGA
RNAcentral lists this unclassified non-coding RNA (333 nucleotides) under soil metagenome. RNAcentral describes it as "partial contains 5.8S ribosomal RNA, internal transcribed spacer 2, and large subunit ribosomal RNA". The stretch from base 1 to 120 matches the Rfam family "5.8S ribosomal RNA", at positions 35 to 154 of the family's 154-position model. The record is from RNAcentral.